GACGAACGCUGGCGGCGUGCUUAACACAUGCAAGUCGAACGGGAAGGCCCUGCUUUUGUGGGAUGCUCGAGUGGCGAACGGGUGAGUAACACGUGAGUAACCUGCCCUUGACUUUGGGAUAACUUCAGGAAACUGGGGCUAAUACCGGAUAGGAGCUCCUGCUGCAUGGUGGGGGUUGGAAAGUUUCGGCGGUUGGGGAUGGACUCGCGGCUUAUCAGCUUGUUGGUGGGGUAGUGGCUUACCAAGGCUUUGACGGGUAGCCGGCCUGAGAGGGUGACCGGCCACAUUGGGACUGAGAUACGGCCCAGACUCCUACGGGAGGCAGCAGUGGGGAAUAUUGCACAAUGGGCGGAAGCCUGAUGCAGCAACGCCGCGUGCGGGAUGACGGCCUUCGGGUUGUAAACCGCUUUCGCCUGUGACGAAGCGUGAGUGACGGUAAUGGGUAAAGAAGCACCGGCUAACUACGUG
RNAcentral lists this ribosomal RNA (468 nucleotides) under uncultured bacterium. RNAcentral's name for it is "partial 16S ribosomal RNA". It matches the Rfam family "Bacterial small subunit ribosomal RNA", at positions 28 to 507 of the family's 1533-position model. The record is from RNAcentral.